RNAcentral lists this ribosomal RNA (520 nucleotides) under uncultured Paraglomus. RNAcentral's name for it is "SSU rRNA". It matches the Rfam family "Eukaryotic small subunit ribosomal RNA", at positions 569 to 1091 of the family's 1831-position model. Lineage: Eukaryota; Fungi; Glomeromycota; Glomeromycetes; Paraglomerales; Paraglomeraceae. The record is from RNAcentral.
AGCAGCCGCGGUAAUUCCAGCUCCAAUAGCGUAUAUUAAAGUUGUUGCAGUUAAAAAGCUCGUAGUUGAAUUUCAGGCCUGGCUGGACGGUCCGCCCUUCGGGUGAGUACUGUCUGUGGUCGGGUCCUACCUUCUGGCGAAGCGUCAUGGCCUUAACCGGCCGUGGCGGGGAACCAGGACUUUUACUGUGAAAAAAUUAGAGUGUUCAAAGCAGGCAAAUCGCUUGGAUACAUUAGCAUGGAAUAAUGGAAUAGGACGAUGGUUCUAUUUGUUGGUUUCUAGGACCGUUGUAAUGAUUAAUAGGGAUAGUUGGGGGCAUUAGUAUUCAAUUGUCAGAGGUGAAAUUCUUGGAUUUAUUGAAGACUAACUACUGCGAAAGCAUUUGCCAAGGAUGUUUUCAUUAAUCAAGAACGAAAGUUAGGGGAUCGAAGACGAUCAGAUACCGUCGUAGUCUUAACCAUAAACUAUGCCGACUAGGAAUCGGGCGAUGUUGACAAAAAUGACGCGCUCGGCACCUCAU